AUACUUACCUGACGGGGCAAUACCAUGAUCAAGGAGGUGGUUUGCCCAAAGUGAGGCUCAGCCAUUACAAUCAGGCUGUGUUGACCUUUCCAAAUUCCCCAAAUGUGGCAAUCUUUACUUCAUAAUUUCUUAUAGUGAGAGACUGCUGUCUCGCUCUCCCCUG
This is a small nuclear RNA of Tachysurus vachellii, 163 nucleotides long. RefSeq annotates it as U1 spliceosomal RNA. Lineage: Eukaryota; Metazoa; Chordata; Actinopteri; Siluriformes; Bagridae. The record is from RefSeq and is a predicted model, not a curated record. The transcript has a single exon.